GUGCUUGCUUCAGCGGCACAUAUACAAAAUUGGAACCGUAGAGAGAUUAGCAUGGCCCCUGAGCAAGGUGACACACAAAUCUGUGAGGUGUUCCAUAUUUAA
Physeter macrocephalus (sperm whale) is the source of this 102-nucleotide small nuclear RNA. Lineage: Eukaryota; Metazoa; Chordata; Mammalia; Artiodactyla; Physeteridae. The record is from Ensembl.